UUGGGAAUAUGCCUUAUGGUGGGGGACAACAGUUGGAAACGACUGCUAAUACCGCAUGAUGUCUACGGACCAAAGUGGGGGACCUUCGGGCCUCACGCCAUAAGAUUAGCCCAAGUGGGAUUAGCUAGUUGGUGAGGUAAUGGCUCACCAAGGCGACGAUCCCUAGCUGGUUUGAGAGGAUGAUCAGCCACACUGGGACUGAGACACGGCCCAGACUCCUACGGGAGGCAGCAGUGGGGAAUAUUGCACAAUGGGCGCAAGCCUGAUGCAGCCAUGCCGCGUGUGUGAAGAAGGCCUUCGGGUUGUAAAGCACUUUCAGUAAGGAGGAAAGGUUAAGUGUUAAUAGCACUUAGCUGUGACGUUACUUACAGAAGAAGCACCGGCUAACUCCGUGCCAGCAGCCGCGGUAAUACGGAGGGUGCGAGCGUUAAUCGGAAUUACUGGGCGUAAAGCGUACGCAGGCGGUUUGUUAAGCGAGAUGUGAAAGCCCCGGGCUCAACCUGGGAACUGCAUUUCGAACUGGCAAACUAGAGUGUGAUAGAGGGUGGUAGAAUUUCAGGUGUAGCGGUGAAAUGCGUAGAGAUCUGAAGGAAUACCGAUGGCGAAGGCAGCCACCUGGUCAACACUGACGCU
RNAcentral lists this ribosomal RNA (633 nucleotides) under Pseudoalteromonas lipolytica. RNAcentral's name for it is "bacterial SSU rRNA". It matches the Rfam family "Bacterial small subunit ribosomal RNA", at positions 117 to 747 of the family's 1533-position model. The record is from RNAcentral. Lineage: Bacteria; Pseudomonadati; Pseudomonadota; Gammaproteobacteria; Alteromonadales; Pseudoalteromonadaceae.